GGCCCGGAGAAGGAAUCUGAGACACUAUUCCUAGCUCUACGGAGUGCAGCAGUCGCGGAACUUUUACAAUGCACGCAAGUGUGAUAAAGCGAACCAAAGUGUUUUUCGUUUAGAAAAACUUUUUCUUAGUGUAAAAAGACAGAAGAAUAAGGAUUGGGCAAGACCGGUGCCAGCCGCCGCGGUAAUACCGGCGGUCCAAGUCGCAUCCACAUUUAUUGGGUCUAAAACAUCCGUAGCUUGUUUUACAAGUCUCUUGUGAAAUCCUAUGUCUCAAACAUAAGGCGUGCAAGAGAUACUGUACUACUAGAGACCGGAAGACGUAACGAGUACGGUAAAGGUAACGGUAAAAUGUGUUAAUCUUUAUCGGACUAACAAUGGCGAAGGCACGUUACGAGUACGGAUCUGACAGUGAGGGAUGAAGGCUAGGGGCGCGAAAGGGAUUAGAUACCCCUGUAGUCCUAGCAGUAAACACUGCUCACUAAACAUUAGUACCUCCUCGAGAGGUAUUAGUGCUGCAGAGAAGUCGGAGAGUGAGCUACCUGGGAAGUAUAGUCGCAAGGCCGAAACUUAAAGGAAUUGGCGGGGGAGCACAAUCG
This 596-nucleotide ribosomal RNA is filed under the name uncultured euryarchaeote. RNAcentral describes it as "bacterial SSU rRNA". It matches the Rfam family "Archaeal small subunit ribosomal RNA", at positions 287 to 884 of the family's 1478-position model. Lineage: Archaea; Methanobacteriati; Methanobacteriota. The record is from RNAcentral.